RNAcentral lists this long non-coding RNA (479 nucleotides) under Cricetulus griseus (Chinese hamster). RNAcentral's name for it is "lncRNA (ENSCGRG00000026026.1)". The record is from RNAcentral. Lineage: Eukaryota; Metazoa; Chordata; Mammalia; Rodentia; Cricetidae.
UGAAAAUCCAGGGGUAAAGGGUUCUUUUUUUUUUUUUUCUUUAAGGAACACAUUAAAGAAAAACAAAAAACAAAAACAAAAAAACAAUGGUUGCGCUCCCUCUGCUGGUUGUACUGGAACAGUAGGAUGGACAGUUUGGGAGGAUGAAACAACAGAAAAGGAAACUAUGGAUUUUGUUUGUGUUUUCCAUACUGUUUUUACACAGCAGUUCUACCCUGGCUUGGCAGAAAGUGUUGACGAAGGUUUGUGGACGAGAUGGCGACUGGUGAUCAUUUAGAAGCUUUCCUCUUGAAGAAUGGGAAAUAGGGUAUCGGAGAAAAGAACUGGUGGCAAGAGAUCACGAGGCAGGACUAAGUAGCUGCAAAGAAAACACAUGCAGGAAAACUCUUCACGAGGAUGGAGUAAGCAUAGAGCUUUUAAGAUACAGUAUGUCUAAGUGGGUUCCGGGGAAAGCAGCAUUUGGAGCUACAUGACAGCCU